Molecule: ribosomal RNA, 497 nt
Filed under: uncultured bacterium
Lineage: Bacteria
Description: partial 16S ribosomal RNA
Rfam family: Bacterial small subunit ribosomal RNA
Source: RNAcentral
GAUGAACGCUGGCGGCGUGCCUAAUACAUGCAAGUCGAGCGAACGGACGAGAAGCUUGCUUUUCUGAUGUUAGCGGCGGACGGGUGAGUAACACGUGGAUAACCUAUCUAUAAGACUGGGAUAACUUCGGGAAACCGGAGCUAAUACCGGUUAAUAUUUUGAACCGCAUGGUUCAAAAGUGAAAGACGGUCUUGCUGUCACUUAUAGAUGGAUCCGCGCUGCAUUAGCUAGUUGGUAAGGUAACGGCUUACCAAGGCAACGAUGCAUAGCCGACCUGAGAGAGUGAUCGGCCACACGAGAACUGGAACACGGACCAUACUCCUGCGAGAGGCAGCAGUAGGCAAUCGUCCGCAGUGGGCGAAAGCCUUACGGAGCAACGCCGCGUGAGUGAUGAAGAUCUUCGGAGCGUAAAGCUCUGUUAUUAGUGAUGAACAUAUGUGUAAGUAACUGUGCACAACUUGACGGUACCUGAACAGAAAGCCACGGCUAACUACGUG